Molecule: ribosomal RNA, 1097 nt
Filed under: Salmonella enterica
Lineage: Bacteria; Pseudomonadati; Pseudomonadota; Gammaproteobacteria; Enterobacterales; Enterobacteriaceae
Description: partial 23S ribosomal RNA
Rfam family: Bacterial large subunit ribosomal RNA
Source: RNAcentral
ACGAUUGACGGAGCGAAGCGACGUCAAAGCGUAUACAAAGUCGAGUCGGUUUAAGGAUACGUUCGUUGGGUAGGGGAGCGUUCUGUAAGCCUGCGAAGGUGGCCUGUGAGGGUUGCUGGAGGUAUCAGAAGUGCGAAUGCUGACAUAAGUAACGAUAAAGCGGGUGAAAAGCCCGCUCGCCGGAAGACCAAGGGUUCCUGUCCAACGUUAAUCGGGGCAGGGUGAGUCGACCCCUAAGGCGAGGCCGAAAGGCGUAGUCGAUGGGAAACGGGUUAAUAUUCCCGUACUUGGUGUUACUGCGAAGGGGGGACGGAGAAGGCUAUGUUGGCCGGGCGACGGUUGUCCCGGUUUAAGCGUGUAGGUGUGUGUUCCAGGUAAAUCCGGUUCACUUUAACACUGAGGCGUGACGACGAGGCACUACGGUGCUGAAGCAACAAAUGCCCUGCUUCCAGGAAAAGCCUCUAAGCAUCAGGUAACAUCAAAUCGUACCCCAAACCGACACAGGUGGUCAGGUAGAGAAUACCAAGGCGCUUGAGAGAACUCGGGUGAAGGAACUAGGCAAAAUGGUGCCGUAACUUCGGGAGAAGGCACGCUGACACGUAGGUGAAGUGAUUUACUCAUGGAGCUGAAGUCAGUCGAAGAUACCAGCUGGCUGCAACUGUUUAUUAAAAACACAGCACUGUGCAAACACGAAAGUGGACGUAUACGGUGUGACGCCUGCCCGGUGCCGGAAGGUUAAUUGAUGGGGUCAGCGCAAGCGAAGCUCCUGAUCGAAGCCCCGGUAAACGGCGGCCGUAACUAUAACGGUCCUAAGGUAGCGAAAUUCCUUGUCGGGUAAGUUCCGACCUGCACGAAUGGCGUAAUGAUGGCCAGGCUGUCUCCACCCGAGACUCAGUGAAAUUGAACUCGCUGUGAAGAUGCAGUGUACCCGCGGCAAGACGGAAAGACCCCGUGAACCUUUACUAUAGCUUGACACUGAACAUUGAGCCUUGAUGUGUAGGAUAGGUGGGAGGCUUUGAAGUGUGGACGCCAGUCUGCAUGGAGCCGACCUUGAAAUACCACCCUUUAAUGUUUGAUGUUCUAACGUGGACCCGUAA